GGCCAAAUGGCCGAGCGGUCUAAGGCGCUAGUUUCAGGUACUAGUCUUCGGGCGUGGGUUCGAAUCCCACUUUGGUCA
This is a non-coding RNA of Ochromonadaceae sp. CCMP2298, 78 nucleotides long. The record is from the annotation of a GenBank genome assembly. Lineage: Eukaryota; Synurophyceae; Ochromonadales; Ochromonadaceae.